AUACGGAGGGUGCAAGCGUUACUCGGAAUCACUGGGCGUAAAGCGCGCGCAGGCGGCCAUUUAAGUUGGAUGUGAAAGCCUACGGCUCAACCGUAGAACUGCAUCCAAAACUAUUUGGCUCGAGUGUGGGAGAGGAAGAUGGAAUUAGUUGUGUAGGGGUAAAAUCCGUAGAGAUAACUAGGAAUACCAAAAGCGAAGGCAAUCUUCUGGAACAUUACUGACGCUGAGGCGCGAAAGCGUGGGGAGCAAACAGGAUUAGAAACCCCGGUAGUCC
Molecule: ribosomal RNA, 274 nt
Filed under: uncultured bacterium
Lineage: Bacteria
Description: partial 16S ribosomal RNA
Rfam family: Bacterial small subunit ribosomal RNA
Source: RNAcentral